UUAAAAAGCUCGUAGUUGGAUUUCUGUUGCGGUGAGUCGGCCGGCUCUUCGGAGUUGUAGCUAGAUUUCAUUGCAGCAUCUUGUCGUAAUCACCACUGGCAUUAAUUUGUUGGUGUGUGGGACCGACUCGUUUACUUUGAGAAAAUCAGAAUGUUCAAAGUGGGCUAUCGCCUUGAAUGUAUUAGCAUGGAAUAAUGAUAUAGGACUUUUGGUUCUAUUUUGUUGGCGUUCGAGAACCAAAGUAAUGAUUGAUAGGGACGAUUGGGGGCGUCAGUAUUCUGUAGCGAGAGGUGAAAUUCUUGGACCUACGGAAGACUAACAGCUGCGAAAGCGUUCGCCUAGGACGUUCUCUUUAAUUCAAGGAACGAAGGUUGGGGGAUC
Molecule: ribosomal RNA, 381 nt
Filed under: uncultured marine eukaryote
Lineage: Eukaryota
Description: bacterial SSU rRNA
Rfam family: Eukaryotic small subunit ribosomal RNA
Source: RNAcentral